CGGUUGACGGCAACGUUAGG
This 20-nucleotide small nuclear RNA is filed under the name Arabidopsis thaliana (thale cress). RNAcentral's name for it is "snRNA_05343". Lineage: Eukaryota; Viridiplantae; Streptophyta; Magnoliopsida; Brassicales; Brassicaceae. The record is from RNAcentral.